RNAcentral lists this ribosomal RNA (172 nucleotides) under uncultured bacterium. RNAcentral describes it as "partial 16S ribosomal RNA". It matches the Rfam family "Bacterial small subunit ribosomal RNA", at positions 337 to 524 of the family's 1533-position model. The record is from RNAcentral.
UCCUACGGGAGGCAGCAGUGGGGAAUAUUGGACAAUGGGCGCAAGCCUGAUCCAGCCAUGCCGCGUGAGUGAUGAAGGCCUUCGGGUUGUAAAGCUCUUUUGUCCGGGAAGAAGUUCUGACGGUACUUGAGGAAUCAGCCUCGGCUAACUCCGUGCCAGCAGCCGCGGUAAU